GCCAUACCACCCUGAAUGUGCCUGAUCUUGUCUGAUCUCAGAAGCUAAGCAGGGUCAGGUCUAGUUAAUACUUGGAUAGGAAAAUGACUGC
Chlorocebus sabaeus (green monkey) is the source of this 91-nucleotide ribosomal RNA. NCBI's taxonomy places the organism in Eukaryota, Metazoa, Chordata, Mammalia, Primates, Cercopithecidae. The record is from Ensembl.